UUAAAAAGCUCGUAGUUGAAUUUCGGGAUCAGUACGUUGGUCGUGCCUUAGGUACGUACUGGUGUUACGGGUUCCUACCUUCUGACGAACCAUCAUGUCAUUAAUUUGGUGUGGCGGGGAAUCAGGACUGUUACUUUGAAAAAAUUAGAGUGUUUAAAGCAGGCUCGCGCUUGAAUACAUUAGCAUGGAAUAAUGAAAUAGGACGUUGAUCCUAUUUUGUUGGUUUCUAGGAUUGACGUAAUGAUUAAUAGGGAUAGUUGGGGG
This 264-nucleotide ribosomal RNA is filed under the name uncultured Glomeromycotina. RNAcentral's name for it is "partial 18S ribosomal RNA". It matches the Rfam family "Eukaryotic small subunit ribosomal RNA", at positions 619 to 888 of the family's 1831-position model. The record is from RNAcentral. Lineage: Eukaryota; Fungi; Glomeromycota.